GACGAACGCUGGCGGCGUGCUUAACACAUGCAAGUCGAACGGUGAAGCGCCUUCCUUUUUGGUGGGUGUGGAUGAGUGGCGAACGGGUGAGUAACACGUGAGUAACCUGCCCCCUUCUUCUGGAUAACCGCAUGAAAGUGUGGCUAAUACGGGAUAUUCUGGGUCUGUCGCAUGAUGGGUCUGGGAAAGAUAUUGUUUCGGUGGGGGAUGGGCUCGCGGCCUAUCAGCUUGUUGGUGGGGUGAUGGCCUACCAAGGCGGUGACGGGUAGCCGGCCUGAGAGGGUGGACGGUCACACUGGGACUGAGACACGGCCCAGACUCCUACGGGAGGCAGCAGUGGGGAAUAGUGCACAAUGGGAGCAAGCCUGAUGCAGCGACGCCGCGUGAGGGAUGGAGGCCUUCGGGUUGUGAACCUCUUUCGCCAGUGAAGCAGGCCUGCCUCGUUUGUGGGUGGGUUGACGGUAGCUGGAGAAGAAGCGCCGGCUAACUACGUG
This 494-nucleotide ribosomal RNA is filed under the name uncultured bacterium. RNAcentral describes it as "partial 16S ribosomal RNA". It matches the Rfam family "Bacterial small subunit ribosomal RNA", at positions 28 to 507 of the family's 1533-position model. The record is from RNAcentral.